This 500-nucleotide ribosomal RNA is filed under the name uncultured bacterium. Its description in RNAcentral is "partial 16S ribosomal RNA". It matches the Rfam family "Bacterial small subunit ribosomal RNA", at positions 30 to 523 of the family's 1533-position model. The record is from RNAcentral.
AUUGAACGCUGGCGGCAUGCCUUACACAUGCAAGUCGAACGGCAGCACGGGAGCAAUCCUGGUGGCGAGCGGCGAACGGGUGAGUAAUAUAUCGGAACGUGCCCAGUCGUGGGGGAUAACGUAGCGAAAGCUACGCUAAUACCGCAUACGAUCUAUGGAUGAAAGCGGGGGAUCGCAAGACCUCGCGCGAUUGGAGCGGCCGAUAUCAGAUUAGGUAGUUGGUGGGGUAAAGGCCCACCAAGCCGACGAUCUGUAGCUGGUCUGAGAGGACGACCAGCCACACUGGGACUGAGACACGGCCCAGACUCCUACGGGAGGCAGCAGUGGGGAAUUUUGGACAAUGGGCGCAAGCCUGAUCCAGCAAUGCCGCGUGCAGGAUGAAGGCCUUCGGGUUGUAAACUGCUUUUGUACGGAGCGAAAAGGCUUCCACUAAUACUGGGGGCUCAUGACGGUACCGUAAGAAUAAGCACCGGCUAACUACGUGCCAGCAGCCGCAGUAA